GUUUAUCUUCAGGGGCAGGGUGAAAUUCCCGACCGGCGGUAAUAGGCCGCGACCUGCGCAAUUGUGCAGUUGAACUGGUGUGAUUCCAGUGCCGACAGUAUAGUCUGGAUAAAGAAGAUAGAG
Molecule: non-coding RNA, 123 nt
Filed under: Liquorilactobacillus vini
Lineage: Bacteria; Bacillati; Bacillota; Bacilli; Lactobacillales; Lactobacillaceae
Also listed under: 1 other name
Description: Lactobacillus vini FMN sequence
Rfam family: FMN riboswitch aptamer (RFN element)
About the family: The RFN element is a highly conserved domain that is found frequently in the 5'-untranslated regions of prokaryotic mRNAs that encode for flavin mononucleotide (FMN) biosynthesis and transport proteins. This element is a metabolite-dependent riboswitch that directly binds FMN in the absence of proteins.
Source: RNAcentral